RNAcentral lists this ribosomal RNA (447 nucleotides) under uncultured bacterium. RNAcentral's name for it is "bacterial SSU rRNA". It matches the Rfam family "Bacterial small subunit ribosomal RNA", at positions 355 to 796 of the family's 1533-position model. The record is from RNAcentral.
UCGAGAAUCUUCCGCAAUGGGCGCAAGCCUGACGGAGCGACGCCGCGUGGAGGAAGAAGGCCUUCGGGUUGUAAACUCCUGUCACGACUUACGAAUCCGGGCGGGGUAACAUCCGUCCGUUGACGAAGGGUCGGAAGGAAGCCACAGCUAACUUCGUGCCAGCAGCUGCGGUAAGACGAAGGUGGCAAGCGUUGUUCGGAUUCACUGGGCAUAAAGGGCGCGUAGGCGGUUCCGAAGGUGGCGCGUGAAAUCCCCCGGCUCAACCGGGGAACGGCGCGCCAAACCGCGGUUCUCGAGGGCGGUAGGGGGGACUGGAACUCUUGGUGGAGCGGUGAAAUGCGUAGAUAUCAAGAGGAACACCGGUGGCGAAGGCGAGUCCCUGGUCCGCAUCUGACGCUGAGGCGCGAAAGCGUGGGUAGCAAACAGGAUUAGAUACCCCUGUAGUCC